This 497-nucleotide ribosomal RNA is filed under the name uncultured bacterium. RNAcentral describes it as "partial 16S ribosomal RNA". It matches the Rfam family "Bacterial small subunit ribosomal RNA", at positions 28 to 507 of the family's 1533-position model. The record is from RNAcentral.
GAUGAACGCUGGCGGCGUGCCUAAUACAUGCAAGUCGAGCGAACAGACGAGGAGCUUGCUCCUUCGACGUUAGCGGCGGACGGGUGAGUAACACGUAGGUAACCUACCUAUAAGACUGGGAUAACUUCGGGAAACCGGAGCUAAUACCGGAUAAUAUUUCGAACCGCAUGGUUCGAUAGUGAAAGAUGGCUUUGCUAUCACUUAUAGAUGGACCUGCGCCGUAUUAGCUAGUUGGUAAGGUAACGGCUUGCCAAGGCAACGAUACGUAGCCGACCUGAGAGGGUGAUCGGCCACACUGGAACUGAGACACGGUCCAGACUCCUACGGGAGGCAGCAGUAGGGAAUCUUCCGCAAUGGGCGAAAGCCUGACGGAGCAACGCCGCGUGAGUGAUGAAGGUCUUCGGAUCGUAAAACUCUGUUAUUAGGGAAGAACAAACGUGUAAGUAACUGUGCACGUCUUGACGGUACCUAAUCAGAAAGCCACGGCUAACUACGUG